CAGGCGGGUCUCCAGCCCUCCAGUGCAUUCUCCCUCCCCCUUUCAGGGUUCUCCAGCUCUUGGACAGAGUGCCUACAAGAGGCAAGGCAGCUGUGUGCACAACCAUCUCAGCUCAGGGAUACACAGCUCUGUGGAGCUGCCAGGUGGGCAGCAGGACAGCGGCUUUGUGACACUCACCUACUAUCCAUGAAUAGUGGCUAGGAAGACUUUGCCGUCUUUUCCAUCCAUUCCUGAGCACUGUGGAAAAGUUGAGAUGGAUGUUCCAGGGUUCCAAUGCACCUCUCUCACCUGCCAGUGCAAGCCCCUGUUUCUUUCUGUGCCUUCUGUGAAGGGAGAGGGGGAGCCAUCCCAUCUCGAGAGCUUGUUGUAAAGGAUUUCAAAAGGCAAUUCAAGAGAUUAGAAAACCAGGUCAGUGAGAUGGCUGAGGUAAGGGCAAUCACUCUCAACUGUGACUACCCGGGUUCGAUCCUUGGAACAAAUGAUGAAGGAAGAGAAACAGCCCCGAGCUCCACACAUGUGCCCUCCACAAAUGGCCAGGCACAGCCACUCUACGGAGGGCAGGAACUCAGGAGGAGGCCUAGCUCUGAUGGAACCAGGACCCUGAGAGCCUCAGGGAGGCUGAGAUGACUCCAAGGAGAGCGGGGCUCAGGGGACAGUCACAGGAUGAGGGGGCUUGGAGUCGAGAAGAGGACACGGAUGGGCCAGGCCAGGGCUGGGAUGGAGUUGCAACACCUUCCGAUGGAAAUGGAAGGUUGGAUCCAUUGAAUGUGGGCUAUGGACAUACCUCACAGCUACAAUACUUGCCUUACUAUGUGCAAGGUCCUAGGUUCACUUCCCCAGCAC
RNAcentral lists this long non-coding RNA (843 nucleotides) under Cricetulus griseus (Chinese hamster). RNAcentral's name for it is "lncRNA (ENSCGRG00015042767.1)". The record is from RNAcentral. Lineage: Eukaryota; Metazoa; Chordata; Mammalia; Rodentia; Cricetidae.